RNAcentral lists this ribosomal RNA (468 nucleotides) under uncultured bacterium. RNAcentral describes it as "partial 16S ribosomal RNA". It matches the Rfam family "Bacterial small subunit ribosomal RNA", at positions 28 to 507 of the family's 1533-position model. The record is from RNAcentral.
GACGAACGCUGGCGGCGUGCUUAACACAUGCAAGUCGAACGGAAAGGCCCUGCUUUUGUGGGGUGCUCGAGUGGCGAACGGGUGAGUAACACGUGAGUAACCUGCCCUUGACUUUGGGAUAACUUCAGGAAACUGGGGCUAAUACCGGAUAGGAGCUCCUGCUGCAUGGUGGGGGUUGGAAAGUUUCGGCCGUUGGGGAUGGACUCGCGGCUUAUCAGCUUGUUGGUGGGGGAGUGGCUUACCAAGGCUUUGACGGGUAGCCGGCCUGAGAGGGUGACCGGCCACAUGGGUCCUGAGAUACGGCCCAGACUCCUACGGGAGGCAGCAGGGGGGAAUAUUGCACAAUGGGCGGAAGCCUGAUGCAGCAACGCCGCGUGCGGGAUGACGGCCUUCGGGUUGUAAACCGCUUUCGCCUGUGACGAAGCGUGAGUGACGGUAAUGGGUAAAGAAGCACCGGCUAACUACGUG